GGUUUUUUACAAGAGAAGUAGCAGAAGAGGGGGCAGUAGCUCAGGGAGUCCUUGUGUGAUAACAUGCUCUGCCGGUGACUCACAGACGGUUGUGAUUGGUCUGGCAGCAGAUUCAGGGUGUGGGAAAAGCACUUUCAUGAGGAGGCUAACUAGUGUGUUUGGUGGUGCAGCAGAGCCACCAAAGGGCGGUAACCCAGAUUCCAACACCCUUAUCAGUGACAUGACUACAGUGAUUUGUUUGGAUGACUAUCACUCACUUGAUAGGACUGGAAGGAAGGAAAAAGGAGUCACCGCACUUGACCCAAGAGCAAAUGAUUUUG
RNAcentral lists this long non-coding RNA (320 nucleotides) under Carica papaya (papaya). Its description in RNAcentral is "long non-coding RNA (CPAP_LNC005496)". Lineage: Eukaryota; Viridiplantae; Streptophyta; Magnoliopsida; Brassicales; Caricaceae. The record is from RNAcentral.